RNAcentral lists this ribosomal RNA (435 nucleotides) under uncultured bacterium. RNAcentral describes it as "partial 16S ribosomal RNA". It matches the Rfam family "Bacterial small subunit ribosomal RNA", at positions 29 to 507 of the family's 1533-position model. The record is from RNAcentral.
AGCGAACGCUGGCGGCAGGCUUAACACAUGCAAGUCGAGCGGGCAUCUUCGGAUGUCAGCGGCAGACGGGUGAGUAACACGUGGGAACGUACCCUUCGGUUCUGAACAACUCUGGGAAACUGGAUCUAAUACCGGAUACGCCCUUAUGGGGAAAGGUUUACUGCCGAAGGAUCGGCCCGCGUCUGAUUAGCUAGUUGGUGGGGUAACGGCCUACCAAGGCGACGAUCAGUAGCUGGUCUGAGAGGAUGAUCAGCCACACUGGGACUGAGACACGGCCCAGACUCCUACGGGAGGCAGCAGUGGGGAAUAUUGGACAAUGGGCGCAAGCCUGAUCCAGCCAUGCCGCGUGAGUGAUGAAGGCCUUAGGGUUGUAAAGCUCUUUUGUCCGGGACGAUAAUGACGGUACCGGAAGAAUAAGCCCCGGCUAACUUCGUG